RNAcentral lists this unclassified non-coding RNA (355 nucleotides) under soil metagenome. RNAcentral describes it as "partial contains 5.8S ribosomal RNA, internal transcribed spacer 2, and large subunit ribosomal RNA". The stretch from base 1 to 120 matches the Rfam family "5.8S ribosomal RNA", at positions 35 to 154 of the family's 154-position model. The record is from RNAcentral.
GAUGAAGAACGUAGCGAAAUGCGAUAAGUAAUGUGAAUUGCAGAAUUCAGUGAAUCAUCGAAUCUUUGAACGCACAUUGCGCCCAUUAGUAUUCUAGUGGGCAUGCCUGAUCGAGCGUCAUUAAGUCCACUUAAGCCCUGCUUAGUGUUGGGAGACUGCUCCAGCGGUGCUACCCUGUAGCUACCCUGCAGCUCCUCAAAGACAGCGGCGGAGUUGUGGUAUCCUCUGAGCUUAGUAACUUGUUCUAGCUUUCGAGUACACCACUUCCCCUGCCGUAAAACCCUUAAUUUUUAAUGGUUGACCUCGGAUCAGGUAGGAAUACCCGCUGAACUUAAGCAUAUCAAUAAGCGGAGGA